CAUGGGGUGAUUUCUCUACCUGGGGAAGGUUGGAGCCUUCCUGGAGGGCAGUCUACCCUGAUAUCAGAAAUAUUAAAAAAUUGGAGGAGUUCCCGUCGUGGCACAGUGGUAACGAAUCCGACUGGGAACCAUGAGGUUGCGGGUUCGGUCCCUGCCCUUGCUCAGUGGGUUAAGGAUCUGGCGUUGCCGUGAGCUGGGGUGUAGGUUGCAGACGCGGCUCGGAUCCCGCGUUGCUGUGGCUCUGGCGUAGGCCGGUGGCUAAAGCUCCGAUUCGACCCCUAGCCUGGGAACCGCCACAUGCUGCGGGAGCGGCCCAAGAAAUAGCAAAAAGACGAGAAAAAAAAAAAAUUGGAUUUCCCGUUGCGGCUCAGUGGUUAACAGAUCUGACUAGGAACCAUGAGGUUGCAGGUUCGAUCCAGUGGGUUGGGGAUCCAGCAUUGCUGUGAGCUGUGCUGUAGGUCGCAGACGCGACUCAGAUCCCACGUUGCUGUGGCUCUGGUGUUGGCGGCUGCAGAUCCGAUUUGACCCCUAGCCUGGGAACCUCCAUAUGCUGCAGGAGCAAUCGUGAAAAAAAAAAAAAAAAGCAAAAAAAGAAAUAUUAAAAAUAUUUUUACUUUUGUCCCAAUAAUUCCAUUCCUGAGACUGUAUCCUAGGAACACAAGUCCAGAAUUCAGAUAAAACUCAGUGGAAAAAUGUGUACAUCAGAGGUGUUUAUGUACUGAAAAAGUGGACACAGCCUAAAAGUGGUUGGAUGAAUAAACCGUGGUGUUUUCCCUUUCACGGAAUCCUCUGCUGCCUUUGAAGACAUUCCCACAAAAAUGUGGAACACACUUAUGCUCUCGGGGUCCCAGAGAGCAGACGCAAAACUGUGAAUCAGCCCCCACUGCUCUGAUCACAGGAAAGACGAAAACAGGCAAGGAGAUAUUCACCGCUAUGCUAGGUGGUUGUUAGGGGAGGGGCUGGAAUUGUGUGGGAUUUAAAAAAAAUUAUUUUUACUUUGAUACACUUUCCAAAUUUUAACAGCGUGCUAUAAAAGCUUAUGAUUUGGGGCGUUGUGGCUCAGCAGGAACGAACCGAACUAGUAUCCAUGAGGACUAGGGUUCGAUCUCUGGCCUGGCUCAGUGGGUUAAGGAUCUGGCGUUGCCAUGAGCUGUGGUGUAGGUCACGGAUGUGGCUCAGAUUCCGUUUUGCUGUAGAUGAGGUAUAGGCUGGCAGCUGCAGCUCUGAUUCGACCCCUAGCCUGGGAACCUCCAUAUGCUGCAGGUGUGGCCCUAAAAAGACACAAACAAAAAAUCAAAACAAAAAACAAACUUACGAUUUUAAUGAAACAAAACAUGAGGGGAGGUUUGAUCUCAGAAGGCUUUGCUGGGAAAGUGAACUUGCUGGGGGACAUUGUGCGCCGUUCCUUGAUCUGCAGACAUACCCCCUCUUCAGCCCACCCCACCUGCUGGCUCCCCACUGAGCCCAGAACCUGGGUGCUCUGCUCUCGGCCUCCCUCUGUCUCUUGUUCCUGAUAUGGUCUCUCUCUACACACACACACACACACACACACUCACGCGCCCUGGAGGUACCAUGGCAAGAUCAGCUGAAGAGAUGCCAGCACGCCCUGGGGACACCCACCUGCCUCGGAGCGAGGGUCUGCUUGGCCCCUCCCGGCCCGGCCGUUCUCCCCACCCGUGGAUCUCCAGUGGGGAGCCGGCCCCUCCCGUGGGCAAGAGGGUCUUCCCCGCAGUCCCCUGGCGUCAAGAGCAGCGGCACUGACGCGGGGGGUGUCCCCCCCGGCCUCUGCUGCGGGAGGCUGGCAGUGAUGGGUCAGGCUCAUGACACACGUGAGGAACCCCUAAAUGGCAACACGGACAGGUGUGAGGAAGUAGAUGGGUGACACUGUCGCAUCCUUCCUCCUGGGCCUGCGGACGUGACGAGGCCAGCUGGCCCCUGGGGCUCAGGGUUGGCCCUCAGCCGUCACACGGCCAAUACCGAGUGGUGUGAAGCCCUGUUGCAGGCCUUGAACCCCCUUCCCUGGCUUCCGUAGCUGGGUCAACAAGCUGAUGGCCUUCUGGUGGCGGGAAGGACCCUUACUGACCAUGUCGGUGUCCAGCGCUGCCAGAGCAAAUAACUACAGACUGGGGCUCUUGAGACCACAGGGGGUGACCCUUGCAGCUCAGGGGGCUGGGAGUCCAAACUCAAGGUGUGGGUGCUCCUCGGAGGGGCUGGGGGACACUGCCACCUGUCCUGGCCCCUCCCCAUAGUCUCUGCCUGUCUCCCCAGAGCCCCUCCUGAGUCACUUCCUCUACUGUUUCUUUUAAGGACACUUGUUACUGUCAAAUCAUAGCCUGUGCCUCGCACCCGGGCUGAAAGCGGGUCCCCUAGGCCCACCUGCCUGCUGUCCUGCCAGAAUGUCAUGUGGUUUGGGGAGAGUGGGGGUCAUGACACGGCCUCUCCGGUCUGCCUGCCCCACCCUACCCCACCCCUCCUUCCCUGCCUCAGAGGCACUUGCCCUGCUCCCCGUGUCUCCCAGGUCCUACCCCAGCUAGAGUCCCUCCAGCACGGUGCCCCCAGGGCCACCCCAGCCUUCCCAGGGGGGGAUCGGGGCAGGUGGUUCUGCAGGUGACUCGGAACCAGGAUGGACUCCUCGUUCUGGGCCCGUGCUCAGCAUUCUCAGCCCCCCUUGUUCUGAGUCCCCCACCUGGCCUUCCUCCCCCCCGGGGCCAGGGUCAGCAUCUGGAGGCCCUCGGGGACCUGGCACAGAAGGGGCAGGGGCCUUGGUGGGUGAAGAAGUGGGGAACACGUGGAUGAACUGAUGAAUGAGCGAGUGAAUGGAGGAGGAGAGGGAGGCCAGCUGGGCGGGGCCCUGACAGUGUCGCAUCUCCCGCUCCCUGCAGAUGUGCUGGUGGACGGACAGCCCUGUGACCACGAGGCGGCGGCCUGCCGGGUGGGCGACCCCGUGCGCCUGGAGGUGCGGCUGACCAACCGGAGCCCACGCAGCGUGGGGCCCUUCGCCCUCAGCGUGGUGCCCUUCCAGGACCACCAGAACGGCGUGCACAACUACGACCUGCACCACGCCGUCUCCUUCGUGGGCUCCGGCACCUUCUAUCUGGACAAGGUGCCACCGUCGGGCCAGGCAGCCUGCCUUGGGGCCCUGCUCUUCCUCUACACGGGCGACUUCUUCCUCCACGUCCGCUUCCAUGAGGACAGCUCCAGCAAGGAGCUGCCGCCCUCCUGGUUCUGCCUGCCCAGCGUGCACGUGCGCGCCCUGGAGGCGCAGGCCUAGCCGCUCCGGCCUGUCCCAGGGCCCUGUUCCAGGUCUCCGCUCCCAUGGGGAGAGGACUAGAGGGCCACAGGGACCUGGCCUGGCCCCCACCCCUGGACAGGGGACAAGACCUUUGCUGCACCUCCCAUUCCCUCCAGCCCUCAGCCCCUACCCCUCGCUUCCCCGCCUACCUGCAGCAUCUGCUCUGGGCUCUACAAGGGGGGGCCCCCAGACACAGCAGCCUCCCUGCUUCCCAUACUGUCCAGGCUCCCCCUGUUACAGCCUAGCAUGAAGGCAGAUGCUGACCGAACCCAAAAGUGAGGCCCCGCCUAGCCAGGCCCUGGGUCACUGCACCUGUUCCUGUGAUCUGGGGUUCACAGGCCAGCCUUAGGAAAGUGGGCAUCAGGAGGGGAGCAGGGGAAGGGGGGACCCCAGUCCCUUGGCCCUGGGAAUCCCCGAGGGCUGGCUCUUCCCCCAGAGCCCCAGGGAGCCCAGCCAGGAGAGACCAGCUGGGACCACCUGCCCCCGGUGGGUAGAUGGUCACCUGUUCUGUGCCCUGGGCUGGUUCCGGCUGGGCUCGGGGGUCCAUGGCCUGCGUGUGUCUGUGUCAGUGACAGAUUCUCCAAUAAAGAGCCUGCCUUGCUUCCCUGGUGGUCCAGCUGCAUCCAUGCACCUGCUUGUCCCGUGUGAUCAGGAGGCCGCCCCCCAGCUCAUCAGACCCCAGCUCAGGUGGGAUUUCCUGCAGCAACCCACCCGUUUGGUGGCGGUAGGGUGGGCCUGGGUCUGUCGGUCUCUGUGGCCCCCCAACCCCCUUCCCUUGCCUGUGCUUUUCGGGACUGGUUCCCAACCUUCUCGGGUCACUGUCUUGGGUCCCACACCGUGUUUCUUGGUUCCCACAUUGGCUCUGGCGAUCUCAGCCUCUCACUUUCUCUCCUGAGGUCUGCACACACUUGGAAAUAUGUUUGGGGGUUACACAGAUGUCCAGAAGUUGGGGUGCAGAUUGAGGCUGUGCGUCCCCCAGCAGCCCUCAGCUGCGCCCCCCACACAUGGUGAGGGCUGCUUUUCCCCACGCCAUCCUCACUCCCUCUGGGUCAUCCAGUCCCCCAACCCACUGUCUCCCAGCAGCCACCCACCUGCAGCCCUCGCUUCCAGCCCGGCAGGUUCAGAGUCCAUUCUCUGCCCGGCACCCCACCCUUACUGAGCAGGCUUCCUGAGCAGAGUUCUGGGGCCAGAGACAAGGCGAGGGUCCCAAGGCACAGAGCAGGGGUCGUGGGGGAGCCAGAGGGAUCCGGGACCCUUGGGUCACGCCGUUUCCACGAGGCCACCCAGGCAGCAGGCUUGGUUGGGACCAACCCACACACAGCAGCAGGAGGAUGAGCAGCUGGCAGGCUGUCGUGGGUCCGAGGUUCCUGGCCCGUGGGAACCCCCAGCUUCAGAGACAGGUGCCCUUUCACGGAGACUGGUACACCUGGUUUAGAAAACAUCCCAGCAAAACUCUGGGUUUAGGGCAGCGAAGAACCCAGGCUACCUGAUGCGGGGCUGCAAGUGUCCUCUGGGUCAGUGCUCCCCGGUGCCGGGCGUGGCCAGGACUUGGCACUGCCUGCCUCACAGGGGCAAGGGCCUGAGUCUCCAAGUGCCCGGAGCACAGAGCCGGAGGCACCGAGCAGGAUCCAAGUCCCCGAUUCUCUGGCAGAGCCACCCCAGGUGACGUACUGGAAGGGGCUGCCUUCCACCUGUCACCUCUCCAUGACGUUCUCGGUCCCCCCCGGGUCAGGCUGCCUCCCGUGGCUUUGCAGGCUGUGUGCCACCUGCCAGGUGCCCACCAGGAGGGCAACUGAGGGCAGGAGUCCUGCCUUGCCUUCGAGGGGCUCUGCCACCUGGGGUGGGGGGUGGGCACCUCAUUCAAAUGGCACAAAGCUGCCACGUGGCCCAUGCUGGCCCAUCCCCUCCACUCCAUUAGCAUCUGUCCUCAAGGGCCUUGCCUCUCACAGAGGCCUGCCCUUAGCCGGCCAGCCCUCCGCCCAGGCACACCCCGGCUCCUCGCAGCCCAGGGAGGGUCCUCGUUUGACUGCCUCAAAGCAAACCCUGACUCUGAGCACAAGCUCGUCUGGGAGGUGGGGGGAACCCCUCGGGGGAACGAGGGACCAGGGUGGGGGAGAGGAGCCAGUGAGGAGCUGAAAUUCUCCGGGAGAUUGGGGGGAGUGAGAAACAUGGUCUCAGGGUCCCCUGGCCCACAGGGCUUCAUUCCCGCAGGCCAGCCCGCCGUGGACGUGAGUGGAUCAGAUACCAGCCUUGGGAGCCGGGGCCAUUGGACAUUCCAAGAAGUCUUGGGGACAGGGAGUGAGAUGUGGGGCCUUGCCCAUGGCCGUUUUCUGAGACUGGCUGAGUGUGACAUAAUAGACAUGUGAUCUCAGACCUCAGUUCUUUUGGGGUGUGUAUGUGUGCAUUUUAGGGCUGCAGUUUCCCAGGCUAGGGGUCGAAUCUGAGCUGCAACUGCCAACCUACACCACAGCCACAGCAACACAGGAUCUGAGCCAUGUCUGCGACCUCCACCACAGCUCUCAGCAACACCAGAUCCUUAACCCACUGAGCGAGGCCAGGGAUCAAACCUUUGUCCUCAUGGAUACUAGCUGGGUUCAUUACCACUGAGCCACGACGGGAACACUUCAGCCCUCAGUUCUUGACACAGCAUUUUCAUCCCUUGGAAUUUCCUGGGUGACAGGAGCGUCGUUUGUUCUAAGGAGGCGGUUCUGGGUGGGCUCCUGGAUGGCUUCAGGGUGGGGGUGUCACAGGAAGACCCAGCAUGACUAGAAGCUUGGACCUUUCUGUCCCAGCACAUCCUCCAGGCAGGGAGGGAGGUGGAGAUUGAGUUAGUCAAUCGUGCCCACAAGACAAAGCACCUAUGGAGUUCCCCACAGGGCAGGGCUUACAGACCUUCCAGGCCGGCGAACACAGCCCCGAGCUGAAGGUGGUUCCCCGCAACUCCAUGGGGACAGAAGCUCCCGCGCCCAGGACCCGCCUUCCAGACCUCACCUGGGUACCUCCUCACCUGGCCGGUCAUCUGCCUCCUUCGUGACGUAAGUAAACUGACAAACGUAAGUAAAGCGUCCUCCUGAGUUCUGUAAGCUACUAUAGCAAAUUCCUAACCCAGGAGGGGUCGUGGGAACCCUACAUGCUUUUUAAUUUUCUGAAACAAGUACAGCAGUUAUCAGACAAUUUACCAGGGGCACCAAGAGAGUCGUCUUCCUCCUCUGGGAGGAAGGUGUUGGAACUCACCCAGGCACCCUGAAAGAUGACCCAGCUGAGCCCUGUGUCCUGCACGCCUCCCCCCCCCCCCCCCCCCCCCCCCCCCGGUCCUCGAGUGGAGGAGAUGAACUGAGUCCGGCCCAAGGAGAGCCCUGCAUGGGCUGUAAGCAGUCAGAGCUUUGCCAUGGGGUCAGCAGGAAUCAGGGAACCGUUUAGAGCAUGGCUGCUGUUGGCGUUUGUGUGGCUGGAGUGAUCCAGUGCAGAGCUGUUAGUAGGCGGUGGCCAAGGCAGAGAAGCCGGGCACAGGUGUCUCGGUGAGCAUUCCGCAUCCUAGUUCUUCAGGUCUCCUUGCGGUCAGCUCCUGGGCACCACUGCUCACAGCUGCUGUAUCUGUAAGCUUCCUCCCUCUCCAGGGCCAGAGGAGGCUCAGCCAAGAAUAGACCGUGUCCUUCUCACUUCACCAGCUAAACUGGCUGGGCUUUGCCCUCCUGACAUUCAUUCCCUUUGGGCAGAACAGGCCUGCAAUGACCCCAUAGUCACCUAGCCAUCAUGCUCUGUCAUUCAGAAUUCGCCAAGCAGAGCCCAGAUCCGUGGGAAGACGUCUGAGGAGCUGAACCCCAGCUCAGCCACUUGUCAACUCUGUGACCUCAGACAGGUCGCUGACAUGGAGACUCACAUUUUUUUUCAUCUGAAUAAAUGGAGAUAAAAAUACUUAGUUCAUGGCCCUUCUGCAUUAGGAAUUUGAUUUGAUCUCAACACUCCUACCUGUGAGAGCAACCCCUUGGUAAAGGCUGGUUCCCGCCUCGUAACCUUCCCAUUCCCCGUGUCCUCCACAUCUCCGGCCUGGCAUCACCAAUCCUCUGGGAAGCUUAAGUGACAUCUCUGUUUCCCAUUACACCCCUGCACAGGUCAGUUUAUUAGGGAGCAUGAAAUAAUAUAGGCAGAUAUUUGUUACCCAAAUGCUCAAAUGGGAAAGGGAUUGCCUGACCAAGGAGGAUUGCCUACUCUGUGACUCUGUAGUCAAGCAAAAGCCAGCCCAGAAGCCACUGUCAUUAGAUGUCUUCAGAGCCAGCCUGGGACCAGAGGAGAGAGUUGACUGCAUGUGGUCACCUGGCUCCUGGAGCCUCUGAACAACAUCGUAAGGGAUUAAGGCAAAUAACAAGUAAAGAUCAAAAGAGGGCAUCAGCCUGAUGGGGUAGGGGCCCAGACUAAGUCUCCUACUGAAAACAACGAAAAACGAUGGUAAUUAUAUAAAAACCCUUUUGUGAGUACAUCCACAAACUGGCAGGAAAGUGGGAAAUACUCAGCCCAGUACCUGUGUGUAGGCAGAAGCCAGAAAGGUGAACAGCGAGCUGAUGUCACUUUCAUUUUGAGGGUUUUUGCCAAAGAAGGAGCGUCACCUUGUGUAGUCUCACAGAACAGGAAAGGAGGAAGACAAAUCCAGGGCCCAACGGGGGAAGAAUCUAAUAGAAGACUGCCCCCAUGAAUUUGGGAGCCCUACCCUACUCAGAGUGGGAGUAGAACUGCCCUGUUUCAACACUUUGACCCCAACCCCAACCGGCCGUCCUAGGGAUCUGCAGUCCCAGGGCCACUCCCUGAAGACUCACCCAAACUUCAAGUCAUUCAUUAACUUGAAAAGGAUCCUGGAUAUAUAGCAGCCCCACUGAAGCACACCAGACAUACCAGAAGUAAACUGGAGGAAGCUACUCUUGUCCCAAAUCUCCAAGGAAAAUGGAUAAUUCAGAGUUUCAAAAGAAGGUCAUUAAAUACACAAGAAAAUAAUAUAUCGUACUGUAAGAGCCAGAAGUAACAAAAUCAGCAAACUCAGGCUUGAAAGGAAUCGGGUAUUGACUUUAUCAGACAUGGACUACAAAAUAAAUAUGCUUUAUAGGUUCUGAGAAAUGAAAAAGAUUAAAAUGGGUAAAGAUUGGGAACAUCAUAAAAUAGUUAAAUGGAACUCCUACGGCUGAAAAAUAGAGCCAAGGAUUUCCUGUUGUGACUCAGUGGUAAUGAAUCAGACUAAUGUCCAUGAGGACAUGGGUUUGAUUCCUGGCCUUGCUUAGUGGGUUAAGGAUCCUGUGUUGCCAUGAGCUGUGGUUUAGGUCUCAGAUGCUGCUGGGAUCUGGCAUUGCUGCAGCUGUGGUAUAGGCCGGCAGCUACAACUCCAAUUCGACCCCUAGCCUGAGAACUUCCACAUGCCAUGGGUGUGGCUCCAAAAAGCGAAAAA
This 8723-nucleotide long non-coding RNA is filed under the name Sus scrofa (pig). RNAcentral describes it as "lncRNA (ENSSSCG00035008948.1)". The record is from RNAcentral. Lineage: Eukaryota; Metazoa; Chordata; Mammalia; Artiodactyla; Suidae.